GCCAGCAGCCAUAUGACCCUGCAACUCACAACCCUGCAACUGAAGCUAAGCAGGUGUGAGCCUGGUCAGUACCUGGAUGGGUGACCUCCUGGGAAAAACUAAGGUUGCUGCUGGAA
RNAcentral lists this ribosomal RNA (116 nucleotides) under Lepisosteus oculatus (spotted gar). The record is from RNAcentral. Lineage: Eukaryota; Metazoa; Chordata; Actinopteri; Semionotiformes; Lepisosteidae.